AGGUGAUAUGAACCGUUAUAACCGGCGAUUUCCGAAUGGGGAAACCCAGUGUGUUUCGACACACUAUCAUUAACUGAAUCCAUAGGUUAAUGAGGCGAACCGGGGGAACUGAAACAUCUAAGUACCCCGAGGAAAAGAAAUCAACCGAGAUUCCCCCAGUAGCGGCGAGCGAACGGGGAGGAGCCCAGAGUCUGAAUCAGUGUGUGUGUUAGUGGAAGCGUCUGGAAAGGCGUGCGAUACAGGGUGACAGCCCCGUACACAAAAAUGCACAUAUUGUGAGCUCGAUGAGUAGGGCGGGACACGUGGUAUCCUGUCUGAAUAUGGGGGGACCAUCCUCCAAGGCUAAAUACUCCUGACUGACCGAUAGUGAACCAGUACCGUGAGGGAAAGGCGAAAAGAACCCCGGCGAGGGGAGUGAAAAAGAACCUGAAACCGUGUACGUACAAGCAGUGGGAGCCUCUUAAUGGGGUGACUGCGUACCUUUUGUAUAAUGGGUCAGCGACUUAUAUUCUGUAGC
Molecule: ribosomal RNA, 517 nt
Filed under: Escherichia coli
Lineage: Bacteria; Pseudomonadati; Pseudomonadota; Gammaproteobacteria; Enterobacterales; Enterobacteriaceae
Description: partial 23S ribosomal RNA
Rfam family: Bacterial large subunit ribosomal RNA
Source: RNAcentral